Molecule: transfer RNA, 72 nt
Filed under: Marmota monax (woodchuck)
Lineage: Eukaryota; Metazoa; Chordata; Mammalia; Rodentia; Sciuridae
Description: tRNA.Ala
Source: RNAcentral
UUUGUUGUGGCUCAGUGGUAGAGCAUUCACCUAGCAUGGGUGAGGCAUUGGGUUUGAAUCUCAGCACCACAU